Molecule: transfer RNA, 67 nt
Filed under: Hishimonoides recurvatis
Lineage: Eukaryota; Metazoa; Arthropoda; Insecta; Hemiptera; Cicadellidae
Description: tRNA-Leu
Source: RNAcentral
GGUGAUUUGGCAGACUAGUGUAUUAAAUUUAGAAUUUAAUUAAGUAAAACAUUAUUUACAUUCACUA